This 373-nucleotide unclassified non-coding RNA is filed under the name uncultured Sphingobacteriales bacterium. RNAcentral's name for it is "contains 16S-23S intergenic spacer region". The record is from RNAcentral. Lineage: Bacteria; Pseudomonadati; Bacteroidota; Sphingobacteriia; Sphingobacteriales.
UCCGGUUUGUCACCGGCAGUCCCAUUAGAGUCCCCAGCAUAACCUGAUGGCAACUAAUGGUAGGGGUUGCGCUCGUUGCAGGACUUAACCUAACACCUCACGGCACGAGCUGACGACAGCCAUGCAGCACCUAGUUUCGUGUCCUUGCGGACUGACCCUUUUCGGGAUCAUUCACUAACUUUCAAGCCCAGGUAAGGUUCCUCGCGUAUCAUCGAAUUAAACCACAUGCUCCUCCGCUUGUGCGGGCCCCCGUCAAUUCCUUUGAGUUUCAAUCUUGCGAUCGUAUUCCCCAGGUGGAUUACUUAAUGCUUUCGCUUAGACGCUGACAGUGUAUCGCCAACAUCGAGUAAUCAUCGUUUAGGGCGUGGACUAC